Molecule: ribosomal RNA, 256 nt
Filed under: uncultured bacterium
Lineage: Bacteria
Description: partial 16S ribosomal RNA
Rfam family: Bacterial small subunit ribosomal RNA
Source: RNAcentral
UACGAAGGGGGGCUAGCGUUGCUCGGAAUCACUGGGCGUAAAGGGUGCGUAGGCGGGUCUUUUAAGUCAGGGGUGAAAUCCUGGAGCUCAACUCCAGAACUGCCUUUGAUACUGAGGAUCUUGAGUUCGGGAGAGGUGAGUGGAACUGCGAGUGUAGAGGUGAAAUUCGUAGAUAUUCGCAAGAACACCAGUGGCGAAGGCGGCUCACUGGCCCGAUACUGACGCUGAGGCACGGAAAGCGUGGGGAGCAAACAGG